Molecule: ribosomal RNA, 449 nt
Filed under: uncultured bacterium
Lineage: Bacteria
Description: partial 16S ribosomal RNA
Rfam family: Bacterial small subunit ribosomal RNA
Source: RNAcentral
AACGAACGCUGGCGGCAUGCCUAACACAUGCAAGUCGAACGAACCCUUCGGGGUUAGUGGCGCACGGGUGCGUAACACGUGGGAAUCUGCCCUUUGCUUCGGAAUAACAGUUAGAAAUGACUGCUAAUACCGGAUGAUGUCGUAAGACCAAAGAUUUAUCGGCAAAGGAUGAGCCCGCGUAGGAUUAGGUAGUUGGUGGGGUAAAGGCCUACCAAGCCGACGAUCCUUAGCUGGUCUGAGAGGAUGAUCAGCCACACUGGGACUGAGACACGGCCCAGACUCCUACGGGAGGCAGCAGUGGGGAAUAUUGGACAAUGGGCGAAAGCUUGAUCCAGCAAUGCCGCGUGAGUGAUGAAGGCCUUCGGGUUGUAAAGCUCUUUUACCAGGGAUGAUAAUGACAGUACCUGGAGAAUAAGCUCCGGCUAACUCCGUGCCAGCCGCCGCAGUAA